GCCCGGGUGGCGGAAUUGGCAGACGCGCAGGACUCAGGAUCCUGUGGGCUUUCGCCCGUGCGGGUUCAAAUCCCGCCCCGGGCA
Molecule: transfer RNA, 84 nt
Filed under: Phorcysia thermohydrogeniphila
Lineage: Bacteria; Pseudomonadati; Aquificota; Aquificia; Desulfurobacteriales; Desulfurobacteriaceae
Description: tRNA-Leu
Rfam family: tRNA
About the family: Transfer RNA (tRNA) molecules are approximately 80 nucleotides in length. Their secondary structure includes four short double-helical elements and three loops (D, anti-codon, and T loops).
Source: RNAcentral